UCUGCACUUGAAGCUGAGACUGA
This 23-nucleotide microRNA is filed under the name Sus scrofa (pig). RNAcentral's name for it is "ssc-miR-7143-3p". The record is from miRBase by way of RNAcentral. Lineage: Eukaryota; Metazoa; Chordata; Mammalia; Artiodactyla; Suidae.